UACGGGGGAUGCAAGCGUUAUCCGGAUUUAUUGGGUUUAAAGGGUGCGUGGGCUGUGAGGUAAGUCAGCGGUGAAAUGCCCCCGCUCAACGGGGUGAAGUGCCAUUGAUACUGCCUUGCUGGAAUGCGGAUGCUGUGGGAGGAAUGUGUGGUGUAGCGGUGAAAUGCAUAGAUAUCACACAGAACACCGAUUGCGAAGGCAUCUCACGAAUCCGCUAUUGACGCUGAUGCACGAAAGCGUGGGUAUCAAACAGG
RNAcentral lists this ribosomal RNA (254 nucleotides) under uncultured bacterium. RNAcentral describes it as "partial 16S ribosomal RNA". It matches the Rfam family "Bacterial small subunit ribosomal RNA", at positions 524 to 776 of the family's 1533-position model. The record is from RNAcentral.